GCGUUACUCGGAAUCACUGGGCGUAAAGGACGCGUAGGCGGAUUAUCAAGUCUUUUGUGAAAUCUAAUGGCUCAACCAUUAAACUGCUUGAGAAACUGAUAAUCUAGAGUGAGGGAGAGGCAGAUGGAAUUGGUGGUGUAGGGGUAAAAUCCGUAGAGAUCACCAGGAUA
This 170-nucleotide ribosomal RNA is filed under the name Campylobacter fetus. RNAcentral's name for it is "partial 16S ribosomal RNA". It matches the Rfam family "Bacterial small subunit ribosomal RNA", at positions 538 to 707 of the family's 1533-position model. Lineage: Bacteria; Pseudomonadati; Campylobacterota; Epsilonproteobacteria; Campylobacterales; Campylobacteraceae. The record is from RNAcentral.